CUGUUGUGUGCCCUUAAACAGCAAUCGAACUGAGAAGUCCCUUUCGGGGCCGAUUAAAAUGGCCGUACCCGGGUUGAGUUACGCGUAGUUUACCAUUACCUUCAAGGUUGGGGGAAUAACCCACUUCGAAAGAUUGGGAUAAUUCCCGCAUAUGGACCACAGUAUCUGUGGAAUACCAGGGGUUCAAAAGAUUUAUCGCCCUUAAGAUUUGGUCUGCGUCCGAUUAGCUUUUUGUGGGGUAAAAGCCUACCAAGGCUGUGAUCGGUACUGGUCUGAGAGGAUGAUCAGCCCACAUUGGGACUGAGACACGGCCCAAACUCCUACGGGAGGCAGCAGUAGGGAAUCUUGCGCAAUGGGGGAAACCCUGACGCAGCGACACCACAUGAGUGAUGAAGGCUCUAGGGUUGUAAAGCUCUGUUCUUGACGAACAAACAAAUGAUUAGUCAAGGAGAAAGGACCGGCUAACUUCGUGCCAGCAGCUNCGGUAAGACGAGGGGUCCAAGCGUUGUCCGGAAUUAUUGGGCGUAAAGCGGGUGUAGCGGUUUUGCAAGUCAGAAGUGAAAGCCUCAGGCUCAACCUGAGAAGUGCUUUUGAUACUGCAUAACUUGAGUUUGGAAGAGGGCAAUGGAAUUCCUGGUGUAGUGGUGAAAUGCGUAGAUAUCAGGAGGAAUACCAGAGGCGAAGCGGUUGCCUGGUCCAAUACUGACGCUGAGAUCCGAAAGCGUGGGGAGCAAACAGGAUUAGAUACCCUGGUAGUC
This 758-nucleotide ribosomal RNA is filed under the name uncultured delta proteobacterium. RNAcentral's name for it is "bacterial SSU rRNA". It matches the Rfam family "Bacterial small subunit ribosomal RNA", at positions 36 to 795 of the family's 1533-position model. The record is from RNAcentral. Lineage: Bacteria; Deltaproteobacteria.